This 164-nucleotide ribosomal RNA is filed under the name uncultured bacterium. RNAcentral describes it as "partial 16S ribosomal RNA". It matches the Rfam family "Bacterial small subunit ribosomal RNA", at positions 355 to 508 of the family's 1533-position model. The record is from RNAcentral.
UAAGGAAUAUUGUGACAUAUGGGCGGGAGGGAUGAUACCAGCUAUGCCGCGUGGAAGGAUGCACGGCCCUAUGGGCUUGUAAACUUCUUUUUAGCAGGGAAAAAACCCCCCGAUGCGUUGGGGGCUGAUGGUACCUGCAGAAUAAGGAUCGGCUAACUCCGUGC